GAUGAACGCUGGCGGCGUGCCUAAUACAUGCAAGUCGAGCGAACAGACGAGGAGCUUGCUCCUUUGACGUUAGCGGCGGACGGGUGAGUAACACGUGUAUCACCUACCUAUAAGACUGGGAAAACUUCGGGACACCGGCGCUAAUCCGGGAUAAUAUAUUGCACCGCAGGGGUCAAUAGUAAAAGACGGUUUUGCUGUCACUUAUAGAUGGAUCCGCGCCGUAUUAGCUAGUUGGUAAGGUAACGGCUUUCCAAGGCGACGAUGCGUAGCCGACCUGAGGGGGGGAUCGGCCACACUGGAACUGAGACGCGGCACAGAGUCCGACGGGAGGCACCGGUAGGGAAGCUUCGGAAAUGGGCGAAAUCCUGCCGGAGGAACGCAGGGUGGGUGAUGAAGGUCUGCGUGUCGUAAAACUCUGUUAGGAGGGAAGAACAAAUGUGUAAGUAACGAUGCGUGACUUGCCGUUACGUGUACAGAAGGACACGGUUAACUCGGU
RNAcentral lists this ribosomal RNA (496 nucleotides) under uncultured bacterium. RNAcentral's name for it is "partial 16S ribosomal RNA". It matches the Rfam family "Bacterial small subunit ribosomal RNA", at positions 28 to 506 of the family's 1533-position model. The record is from RNAcentral.